AUUGAACGCUGGCGGCAGGCCUAACACAUGCAAGUCGAGCGGAGCGGCGGACGGGUGAGUAAUGCCUAAGAAUCUGCCUGGUAGUGUGGGAUAGAGUCCGGAAAGGGGCGCUAAUACCGCACACUAUCCACUGCACCUAGGUCGGAUUAGCUAGUUGGUGGGGUAAAGGCCUACCAAGGCGACGAUCCGUAACUGGUCUGAGAGGAUGAUCAGUCACACUGGAACUGAGACACGGUCCAGACUCCUACGGGAGGCAGCAGUGGGGAAUAUUGGACAAUGGGCGAAAGCCUGAUCCAGCCAUGCCGCGUGUGUGAAGAAGGUCUUCGGAUUGUAAAGCACUUUAAGUUGGGAGGCGUUACCAACAGAAUAAGCACCGGCUAACUCCGUGCCAGCAGCCGCGGUAAUUC
Molecule: ribosomal RNA, 407 nt
Filed under: uncultured bacterium
Lineage: Bacteria
Description: partial 16S ribosomal RNA
Rfam family: Bacterial small subunit ribosomal RNA
Source: RNAcentral